Long non-coding RNA from Felis catus (domestic cat), 4809 nucleotides. RefSeq lists it as uncharacterized. Lineage: Eukaryota; Metazoa; Chordata; Mammalia; Carnivora; Felidae. The record is from RefSeq and is a predicted model, not a curated record. The transcript has 2 exons.
UGAAGUCAGACACUUAACCGACUGAGCCACGCAGGCACCCUGUGACCAUUUAUAUUUAAGCAUUUCUCUAAUAAUCUAUUUUAAACAUAUAUAUUUACUUUUAAAAUGUGUGUGGUUUUUAAAUAUAUAUUUUUUAUGUUUAAAACACAUAUACAUAUUUUUUUUCUUUUUCCUCAGCCUAUAUGAAUAAAAACACCAGCAAAAUUCCAUUUAUAUUCUUGAAAUGCACUGUGAAAUGAACUCUGUCAGAUCGAUAGUAAGGAUCUUGGCACCGAUGCCAAUUUAAAUGUUACUAUAGCAAUCGCCAUGGUAAUGUUUUCAAUUAGUGAUACACAGUCACAGCAUAACAUGGAUCUAGUGUAUCAUUUGGUAACUUCAAAAUGGAUCUACAGAUUAUUUGAUUUUACCAGUCAAAUAAGAGCCAGACAAGAAAGAAAGAAAGAAAGAAAGAAAGAAAGAAAGAAAGAAAGAAAGAAAGAAAGAAAGAAAGAAAGAAAGAAAGAAAGAAAGAAAGAAAGAAAGAAAGAAAAAGUGAAACAAGCAACAACCAUGGUCUAUUCCUAGGUUUCAAAUUUCAAAUAUUCUCUAACUAAAGUUUAAAAGUAUUUUAAAUCCAUUAGCAUGUUUAUGUUUGCAAAUCAGCUAUAUAAGCACAACACAGUUACAAAAAAUUGUACUUAAUGAGUCAUUGUCAAGAUACUGUCAUUAAAAAAUCCAGGGUUUAUAUCAUCUGAAAAAUCUAUCUGAAAAUAAAGUUACGUAUAAUAAAUAGUUACUAUUAAAUCUCAUGGAGGGAAGGAAAAUAGAGAUGAUAAUAAUAUAAUAGUCAUUCAUUAUGGUUCUAUCCAGCAUUUAUUAAGUACAUGUCAUGGACCAGGCACUCCUCACAGCUUUGGUAAUCAUUCAUUCUGUUUUGAGACAGCCCAUGUCUUUCUCUUCCUAGUCCACUGGAAUUUUUCCACCUCCAUCUUUAAGUUUCCUGGGGCUAUUCAGCCAGUGAAAUUUGGGUGGGUGUGAUGUGUGCUCUAUCUGGGAAGAACGUUUAUGAACUGCUGCGUGAUCUUUUUUCAUCUGCCAUACCAAGUAUGGCAAGAUUUCCCAGCCUAGGACCCCAAAUAAAGACAAGGGGAGCUUACCCCCACCCCUGCAAGCCAACCUGUGAUGGAUAUAUAAUGGGAGAGAAAAAGAAAAUUUUUGUUUGAAACUUCUUGCACACCCUAGGCCUUUAUAACUGAUGCAUAUAUCUUAAAUCACAGAAAUUGCUGAAAUCACACUCUCAAAAAUCUAUUUGAUGAAGGCGCUAUUGUUCAGAUUUUAUACAUGAAAAAUAUGAAAGUUCACAAUGUUUAAAUAAAUUGCCCAAGGUAAACAUCUAUUAGGUGGUGAGGGAGAAAAUAAAAAUCACGUCUGAGAGCUGACAGCUGGUACCUGGCCUGCUGACUAAGAGCUAUGCUAUAGUUUCCCCUGCUGAACACCAACUGGACAGAAUAUCAUCAUCAGAUGAACUCACUCAAUAGCUGUGAAUGGAUAAGGCAAAAGCAGAGACACUAGGUAGCCCCAAAAUGACCAAAUAUCUUUCUUUCUUGGUUAUUUUUUCAAAGACAAUCUCAAACUGUUUUUCAAGCUUUCUAUACAGAAGAUAAUAUACAUCUAUAUAAUUGCCCUGAUUUCCUGAUAUGACCUAAUCAAAUGCUGAUCUCUGCUUUCAUAAGCACUUCCCAAAUAUCCUAGCAUAUUCCCAAAUUCUGUAAUAAACCUAUCCUAACUCUCUCUGACCAAAUUACUUCCAACUUCCCCAUGAUGGGAAGUGUGCCUCAUUGCAGGAAGUUAAUACACCUAAGUUUGACACAACUGUAUUAUUCGUGAUUUUUUGGACAUUGGACUUUUCCAGUGGUAAUUGAGACUUAUACUAGGGGAGUCUGGCUCUAGUAUCCAUAACACACCACUGUGCUGAAUAAAUCUGAAUAAAACAGUAUGACUAUUGAUAAUUAAUAAAGUAAUUAACAUAGGUUAUUUCCUUUCUUUUACUGAACUACUCAAGGGAUUUGAAUUAAAACAAUAUGUCAAGGAACAUUGUAGUGAAAUCAGCACUGAUAGGAUUUAUUGGUGUGUGUCUGUGUGUGUGUGAAUUUAUAAGGAAAUUUUGUUAAGGAAUAGGUUUACUUCUCACCCCCCUGCCCGAACCUCACUUGCAGAGGCUUGCAUCAAUUAUACUCCCAUCUUAUGAGCCAUAAUUAUUGUUUGUUCAUACAAGGUUCUCUUAUUUCAUUGAUUUAUUUUUAUUUUUAUUCCCAUAUUCUACUCUCAGCUACCCCAGUUUUCCUGAGAGUUUCCAAUAAAUAAGAACCUGUGAAUCAAAAGUGUCUUGCAUUAAAAAUUAAUUACCCUUAUCAUGUACCCAGGGGUUUGUGUAGAAUUAUGAUCUGAUUUGAUGGAGGAAUAAUGGAUCAAGAGUUCAAAUGACUCAAUGUGCUUAUUUUAUGCCUAUAAGAUGGGAUGUAAUGGAAUACCUAACUGUAGGUACUAUUUCAACAAUUUGAACAUGUUAUCUUUCACUUUACACAUAUUACACACAUUGCACAUAAUUGAAUCUAUCUUUUUAGGGACUGUAAAGUUACAAAUGCUUAAAAUUUAGUUAGAAAUCCUGCACAAAGAGGUUAAUAAAGGGCUGAAAUAUCUCUAUAACCCACUGCAUUCCCAAGGGAGAGUAUUAUUCUCACCUUAAACAAUCAUACUCUUACUACUAAUCUUCAUUAGGACAUCUUUUCUUUGCUAUAAAAGGAAAACUAAGAAGCAAAAAUGCAUCCAAGUUAAUCUAAAAUUAGGCCUAGCUGAAGUUCCUUACACCUCUUGCUAUGGAUCCUUCUCUGUAGGAAACUCAUUUAAAUCUGUCACAUGAGAAGACCAGUUUAUUUUUAUUUUUUUCAUCAUAUAUUUGCCAAAGGAACAUAUGUUUGCUGCUUAAAUAACAUCAUUAAGCAUCAGAGAUAUGAAGUAUAUUCAUCAAAGCCAAAAUCAGAUUCUCAAAUAUGGCCUCUUAGGAAGGAGCCUGUUACUAAAUAUAAAUUCUAGAAUGUAUGCUUUGGUUACUUGGAUAUUAAUAGUGAGUCACAGAAUUAUUUAAUUAUUGUUUUUAUUGCAUAAUACUGUGACCAUAUACUCUGCCACAUACUUGACACAGCUUAUCUUUUCUAAUAGGAUUCUGUUUACUAAGCCUCUAAGAGUCAACUUUGUCAACAACACUGUGACUCAGGAUAUUCAGUAUGUCAUAACCUCCUGAUAGAUAAUAACUCAACGAACAAUCAUUUUUAGUUCGUGAUUUUGUCAUCCUAAUCUAAUGAGACCAUCAUCAUCAUCAUGAUUUUCAUCAUCAUCAUCAUCAGAACUAAUAACUUUGAUGCACUGUCAAGUGUGGGUUUGGGCCAUACCUUCACAAGUCAAUUCUGCAACACAGUGCUGGAAUCAAUAGACCGUACAAGGUUGAGGAGAGGGAUAAAGUUGACAGAGACUGUCAUUUGAUGAAAAUAUACAUCACUCGUCACAAAAUGCCUCAAUGUGAACACAAUUAUGAGAUUUAUAUAUAAAAAUUUCAACUACUGUGAAUUUUACAGUUGGCCACUGAUUCAGAAGGAAGGCUCAUUUGGCCAAUAUACUUAAAAACUUAUAUGCUAUUCAUCUUAUAAGAAUGCUUAAAGUUUAGUAAUAUGUGAACUUUGAAUUUUUCAAUGGCUGGAUUUAAAAAUCUGAGAAUUUGGUUACAUCCAUUUUGGGAUGAAAUUUAGCAUGAUGGGCCACAUAAUUUUCUCUUAAGUAGUAGUUUUAAAUUCAAGAGUAGCUUAGAUCCAAUGUGGAAAUUGUCCAGCAAGUGAAAUUCUGUUUUCUUUCACCAACAAUUAAAAGUGCUUUGAAGAAUCAAAAAUUUAAGAUAUGAUAACUCUUUAUUUAUGAAAUUUUGGUGAGAUUGAGAGAAAGAUUAAGGAAGCAGAUUGAAAGUUUCAAAGAACACCUUAUUUCUUAAUCCAUAGAGAGGAAACACAUAUUGUUAUUCACUUAAAAUAACCCUGAUAGUCUUUCUAAAGAGUUGUAUUCAGAUCACUUGGAGUUCCAAGUGCCAGACUGUUAUCAACUUUUAUCAUUCUUUUCCUUUCUUGUCUUCUCUUUUCCAACACGACAAGCUUCAAGUUUAAUAAAUAUAGGAACCUAUCACCCCAAAACUUUUCAUAUCUUCUAUUUCUCCUCAAUCUGGCUUUUCUCUGAUAUCUGACAUAUAUACCUAAAAAUACUUUUCUUAAAAUACUUUUUGUACAUUGUAUCUCCUUUAUCAUCACAAACACAUACUUUUCAACUAUAUUUCAUUGAGCCUUACAAAUGAACAUAUUGGGAAAACUAUUACGGGUUGCUUAUACAAAUAAAGAAAUUUGGGCUCAGAAGAAUCAAAUUACCUCCCUAGGAUUAGAGUUAGGAUAUGACAGUGUUGGAAUAGGAAACCAGAUGAUCUCAUUUCAGAGCACAUGAUAGUAAACUGAUCUACAUUGUUAAAGGAGCCUCUGGUGAUGCCGCCUACAUCAGGUUCAAUCCCUCUGCUCAUUUUUUCAGAGAUCCAUUCUUGAACCCGUGCUACCCUUUCAACUUCAGGCCCCACUGCUUCCUAACACAUAUGCUCUUUUCCAAGAUGGGCUGUGUGUGUUUUAGAGAGGGAUUAUAUUAUCUUUAAUUUUCAUAAUAGAAGCUGGCAUUAGUUCUAGUAAGGCUGAGAGACAUUAAUUCUAAUUUUUAUCCGUGUUUUAAAAAAUAAAGUUUAAGACCCAU